GCAUUGGUUGUUCAGUGGUAAUUCUCGCCUGCCACGCGGGAGGACCGGGGGUUCGAUUCCCCGCCAAUGCA
RNAcentral lists this transfer RNA (71 nucleotides) under Clytia hemisphaerica. RNAcentral describes it as "tRNA-Gly for anticodon GCC". It matches the Rfam family "tRNA". Rfam says of the family: Transfer RNA (tRNA) molecules are approximately 80 nucleotides in length. Lineage: Eukaryota; Metazoa; Cnidaria; Hydrozoa; Leptothecata; Clytiidae. The record is from Rfam by way of RNAcentral.